Molecule: small nucleolar RNA, 95 nt
Organism: Setaria italica (foxtail millet)
Lineage: Eukaryota; Viridiplantae; Streptophyta; Magnoliopsida; Poales; Poaceae
Rfam family: Small nucleolar RNA Z157/R69/R10
About the family: Z157, R69 and R10 are members of the C/D class of snoRNA which contain the C (UGAUGA) and D (CUGA) box motifs. Most of the members of the box C/D family function in directing site-specific 2'-O-methylation of substrate RNAs.
Source: Rfam
GUUGGAGCGGUGAUGAGCAAUUUUCGUGGACUAGAGUUUCUGAUAUUACCUCGGUAGUAUUUGACGACCAAACCCUUGGCUGUCUGAGCUCCCAA